RNAcentral lists this long non-coding RNA (274 nucleotides) under Bos taurus (domestic cattle). Its description in RNAcentral is "long non-coding RNA NONBTAT025619". Lineage: Eukaryota; Metazoa; Chordata; Mammalia; Artiodactyla; Bovidae. The record is from RNAcentral.
UGGUUUGUAAAGUAUUAAAAUUACCCAGGCAAAAUAAUUAUAAAAUUGCAUUUAUAAAAUACACAUAUCACACAUAUAUAUUGAAUCAUAAAAAUGAAAGUUUGUUUUAAUAUACAUUCCACUGUUCAGUGUUGGUUAAGACAUAUGUACAUGCAAAUCCUUUGUUUAAUGCAAGUAAUUAUCAAAUAAAAUAAAAUAUUAAGGAUGCAGUAUAUUACAUCCAAGAAGGACAGGUUCUGUUCAUAUUUCUUGGUUCAAAAUCACACUGGAAAUU